AGCUUAUUAAAUCAACGUAUAUGGAGAGAUAUUUUGAGAGAGGAGACUACCCAAAGGACUGAAGUAAAGAAGGAUUGAUUACACCUUUGAGGUGAUAUCUAAGUUUUUAAAGGAAGCGUCAGGGAGAAGUUCCUUUUGAUAUGGCUUUUUGAGGUCUUUUCCUUAUAGGAGUCUUCUUGGGCAUAUUUCGCGGAAUCCUUUCCAUAUAGGAAUCCCUUUGGAUAUCACUAAACGUGGAGAGCAAGACAUUUCCUUAUAUACACAAUCGUGGAUGGCAAGCAAUCCUUUACUAAGGUCGUCAGCUUACCCUACGCCUUCAGCCUUAACCCCGUCAGCUUUAUGAUGCCAUUAGCCCUUGGGUAUGCCUUGUGGGUGCCUCUUCCUAAAUAUCCAUUUUGUCAAUACGUGUAAAUGAAGGCUGGCGGGUUUAAUUGUAUCCAUCCUCUUUUAACUGUCAGCUUGUACCUUAUUGUGAGUAAUCUCUAUUUUUAUCCACAUCAGUUACUA
Quercus robur (English oak) is the source of this 507-nucleotide long non-coding RNA. RefSeq lists it as uncharacterized. The transcript has 3 exons. The record is from RefSeq and is a predicted model, not a curated record. NCBI's taxonomy places the organism in Eukaryota, Viridiplantae, Streptophyta, Magnoliopsida, Fagales, Fagaceae.